RNAcentral lists this ribosomal RNA (253 nucleotides) under uncultured bacterium. RNAcentral describes it as "partial 16S ribosomal RNA". It matches the Rfam family "Bacterial small subunit ribosomal RNA", at positions 524 to 776 of the family's 1533-position model. The record is from RNAcentral.
UACGUAGGUGACAAGCGUUGUCCGGAUUUACUGGGCGUAAAGAGCGCGCAGGCGGUCGAUCAAGUCGAGUGUGAAAGCCCCCGGCUCAACUGGGGAGGGUCAUUCGAUACUGAUCGACUCGAAGGCAGGAGAGGGUAGUGGAAUUCCCGGUGUAGUGGCGAAAUGCGUAGAUAUCGGGAGGAACACCAGUGGCGAAGGCGACUACCUGGCCUGUUCUUGACGCUGAGGCGCGAAAGCUAGGGGAGCAAACGGG